UUACAGCCAUAUCAUGAUGAAACACCAGUUCUCAUAAGAUCACCAAAGUUAAGCAAUGUUGAACCUGGUCAGUACCUAGAUGAAUGACUGCUUUGGAAUACCAUGUU
This is a non-coding RNA of Acanthosepion pharaonis, 107 nucleotides long. Lineage: Eukaryota; Metazoa; Mollusca; Cephalopoda; Sepiida; Sepiidae. The record is from the annotation of a GenBank genome assembly.